AAGUCGUAACAAGGUUUCCGUAGGUGAACCUGCGGAAGGAUCAUUAACACUAUUAAAAAUAUGAGCAAGUUGUGGGUGUUUAUUCUUUUCACAAAGAAUAAAUGCUUCUUUUGUUCUUAUCCAAUUUACCCAAACUUUUUGAAAGUGCUUGUUGAUUUUUUCUUUCUUGGCAACGAGAAAGAAAAAUCCUUUUUUUUUUUUUUUUCUAUAUAAACAAAAACCCCAAAUCUUUUUUUGCUAAUGCAAAUGACAAUUACUAAAAACAAAAUAACUACUUUAACGUAACCCAACAACUCUUAGCAACGGAUAUCUUGGCUCUC
This 320-nucleotide unclassified non-coding RNA is filed under the name fungal sp. RNAcentral describes it as "partial internal transcribed spacer region". The stretch from base 1 to 46 matches the Rfam family "Eukaryotic small subunit ribosomal RNA", at positions 1786 to 1831 of the family's 1831-position model. The record is from RNAcentral. Lineage: Eukaryota; Fungi.